This 301-nucleotide ribosomal RNA is filed under the name uncultured bacterium. RNAcentral's name for it is "partial 16S ribosomal RNA". It matches the Rfam family "Bacterial small subunit ribosomal RNA", at positions 509 to 807 of the family's 1533-position model. The record is from RNAcentral.
CAGCCGCCGCGGGAAUACGGAGGGGGCUAGCGUUGUUCGGAAUUACUGGGCGUAAAGCGCACGUAGGCGGCUUGGUAAGUUAGAGGUGAAAGCCCGGAGCUCAACUCCGGAAUUGCCUUUAAGACUGCCGAGCUAGCAGGUGAGAGAGGUAAGUGGAAUUCCGAGUGUAGAGGUGAAAUUCGUAGAUAUUCGGAAGAACACCAGUGGCGAAGGCGACUGACUGGACAAGUAUUGACGCUGAGGUGCGAAAGCGUGGGGAGCAAACAGGAUUAGAUACCCGUGUAGUCCCUGUCUCUUAUAC